UUUAGGUAAAAACUGGAAAGACUAGCUUGGAGUAGAUAUCAAGAGUUUACGGGAAUCAGGCAGUGGUUGUUAGUAUCGAUCCCUGUAGAGUGUAUGUAAAGGAUCCUAAUGAUGUGCAAUUGAAGACCGUAAGGGUUUCAAAUCUAG
RNAcentral lists this small RNA (147 nucleotides) under Vigna angularis var. angularis. RNAcentral's name for it is "Non-protein coding transcript". Lineage: Eukaryota; Viridiplantae; Streptophyta; Magnoliopsida; Fabales; Fabaceae. The record is from RNAcentral.